AGGCCUUAAAAAUGAAAGCUUGUGGUGAGGGUUGGGCUGGGAUCAUCGUUGAAAGAAUCAGAAUAAACUGGAUCCCAAGGUUGAAGAAACAGUCUUUGGAAUUUAAAGCCUAUCUUGAACCAAACAUUUGAUUAGUCACUACAAAAACUGUUGAUGUAUAUCGUUCAUCAAAGAGUUUUAUAUGACCACUUGUUUUCAAGGCACAAAAUAUGGCAGAUCCUUACAUUCAGGAAGCUAAGAAAUAUACCGAGCCAUACAUUGAUCGGGUUGCAAUGGUGACAAAAACACAUUUAGAUAAAUUACAAGAAAGAAAAUGCCAAAGCAGUUCUCCUUGUUGCAAGCCAGGUGAGACAUAUGUACAUCUAUCCUCUCAAAACCUUGCACAUUUCUUUUUCUUUCUGAAGUCUACUUUCUCUAACCACUAUGAAAUAUGUUUGCCCUCCAACUCAUGAACUUCCCAUCCUUGGUGAAAAUGUGACUUGGUCUGCGAUCUCUU
Non-coding RNA from Malus domestica (apple), 496 nucleotides. Lineage: Eukaryota; Viridiplantae; Streptophyta; Magnoliopsida; Rosales; Rosaceae. The record is from RefSeq and is a predicted model, not a curated record.